RNAcentral lists this ribosomal RNA (626 nucleotides) under Macrocybe titans. Its description in RNAcentral is "partial large subunit ribosomal RNA". It matches the Rfam family "Eukaryotic large subunit ribosomal RNA", at positions 47 to 654 of the family's 3401-position model. Lineage: Eukaryota; Fungi; Basidiomycota; Agaricomycetes; Agaricales; Callistosporiaceae. The record is from RNAcentral.
UAAGCGGAGGAAAAGAAACUAACAAGGAUUCCCCUAGUAACUGCGAGUGAAGCGGGAAGAGCUCAAAUUUAAAAUCUGACAGUCUUUGGCUGUCCGAGUUGUAAUCUAGAGAAGUGCUAUCCGCGCUGGACCGUGUACAAGUCUCCUGGAAUGGAACAUCAUAGAGGGUGAGAAUCCCGUCUCUGACACGGACUUCCAGGGCUUUUGUGAUAUGCUCUCAAAGAGUCGAGUUGUUUGGGAAUGCAGCUCUAAAUGGGUGGUAAAUUCCAUCUAAAGCUAAAUAUUGGCGAGAGACCGAUAGCGAACAAGUACCGUGAGGGAAAGAUGAAAAGAACUUUGGAAAGAGAGUUAAACAGUACGUGAAAUUGUUGAAAGGGAAACGCUUGAAGUCAGUCACAUUGACUAGGGAUCAACCUUGCUUCUUUGCUUGGUGUACUUCCUAGUUGAUGGGCCAGCAUCAAUUUUGACCAGUGGAUAAAGGUCAAGGGAAUGUGGCAUCUUCGGAUGUGUUAUAGCCUUUGAUUGUAUACAUUGGUUGGGAUUGAGGAACUCAGCAUGCCGUAAGGCCGGGUUUCGACCACGAUCAUGCUUAGGAUGUUGGCAUAAUGGCUUUAAUCGACCCGUCU